AAUCAGUGAGAUGAUCCAUCAAUCAUCAUCAGGCUGCAAGCCUUAUAGCCUCUUCACAAAGGACCAGAUGGCUGUGUGACAUGUUUUCAGUUCUGUGCAAGGAACCACCAUCACACCAUGGAAGAUGUCAAUGUCAACAGCAGAAGGAAAAUUACUCUGCAGGCCCUUCCCAUCUUCCUCCCCCUCUGAUACUACCUUGCAGCCAAAAGACAACAACCACAACCAUCUUCUAGCCACCAGAAUAGCAAUUAAAUCAUACUACAGUAAUUCACCAAAAAUGACAUAUUUGGCAGAAGAAAUUGACCUGCCAGACUUCUCGGAUGCAGCUGUAGCUAUUCUCACUGUCUCGGGUGAUACAGACUCCCUUGUGAAGUUUGGUCCUGCUAUCCAUUCUAUAGUUGACAGAGACGUUAUUUUUCUAUUUGGCUUAAUUUGUGCACUUCAUCUCGAUUGUCCAAAGCAAUUGUCCUACAAGUUCAUUAAAAAAAUUAUAAUGGGUUUGGAAGACCUGAAGCGGUUACCUCCUAGACUGCUGCUUAGCCUUAAAAAUAAAUGGCUGAUGAUGGAUGAGUAAGCAGUCUGUUUUCCAAAUCUCAUGGUUGGUACUGCCAGCAUUUUAAUACUCAAGCAAGCAAUGGAGCUUUUCGCUUUUAUUUAUGUUGGCCUAUUAUUUUGUUAUUUGAGUAUUAUUACCUUUGUUGAAGUGGUAAAAGGUUGUUAUUUCUUUGAUUUUCUGUAUUAACCGCA
This is a long non-coding RNA of Alosa alosa (allis shad), 747 nucleotides long. RefSeq lists it as uncharacterized. The record is from RefSeq and is a predicted model, not a curated record. Lineage: Eukaryota; Metazoa; Chordata; Actinopteri; Clupeiformes; Clupeidae. The transcript has 5 exons.